GAUGAACGCUGGCGGCGUGCCUAAUACAUGCAAGUCGAGCGAACAGACGAGGAGCUUGCUCCUUUGACGUUAGCGGCGGACGGGUGAGUAACACGUAGGUAACCUACCUAUAAGACUGGGAUAACUUCGGGAAACCGGAGCUAAUACCGGAUAAUAUUUCGAACCGCAUGGUUCGAUAGUGAAAGAUGGCUUUGCUAUCACUUAUAGAUGGACCUGCGCCGUAUUAGCUAGUUGGUAAGGUAACGGCUUACCAAGGCAACGAUACGUAGCCGACCUGAGAGGGUGAUCGGCCACACUGGAACUGAGACACGGUCCAGACUCCUACGGGAAGCAGCAGUAGGGAAUCUUCCGCAAUGGGCGAAAGCCUGACGGAGCAACGCCGCGUGAGUGAUGAAGGUCUUCGGAUCGUAAAACUCUGUUAUUAGGGAAGAACAAACGUGUAAGUAACUGUGCACGUCUUGACGGUACCUAAUCAGAAAGCCACGGCUAACUACGUG
RNAcentral lists this ribosomal RNA (497 nucleotides) under uncultured bacterium. Its description in RNAcentral is "partial 16S ribosomal RNA". It matches the Rfam family "Bacterial small subunit ribosomal RNA", at positions 28 to 507 of the family's 1533-position model. The record is from RNAcentral.